UCUCCGUUGGUGAACCAGCGGAGGGAUCAUUACAGGACUCGCAAGACUCCCGUAACCACUGUGAACCUACCUAUACUCGUUGCCUCGGCGGGUGCUCCGGCUCGCUCCGGAGCGCUACGCCCGCCGGCGGCACACAACUCAUUGUCUGACUCUAAGCAUCUCCGAGCCAUACACAAACGAAUCAAAACUUUCAACAACGGAUCUCUUGGUUCUGGCAUCGAUGAAGAACGCAGC
Molecule: unclassified non-coding RNA, 234 nt
Filed under: uncultured fungus
Lineage: Eukaryota; Fungi
Description: sequence contains ITS1, 5.8S rRNA gene
Rfam family: 5.8S ribosomal RNA (bases 186-234)
Source: RNAcentral